Molecule: ribosomal RNA, 305 nt
Filed under: uncultured bacterium
Lineage: Bacteria
Description: bacterial SSU rRNA
Rfam family: Bacterial small subunit ribosomal RNA
Source: RNAcentral
UUUUUCCUAGGGAGGCAGCAGUGAGGAAUAUUGGUCAAUGGGCGAGAGCCCGAACCAGCCAAGUCGCGUGAAGGAUGACGGCCCUAUGGGUUGUAAACUUCUUUUGUCAGGGAGCAAUUGAGUCCACGUGUGGGCUUAGCGAGAGUACCUGAAGAAAAAGCAUCGGCUAACUCCGUGCCAGCAGCCGCGGUAAUACGGAGGAUGCGAGCGUUAUCCGGAUUUAUUGGGUUUAAAGGGUGCGUAGGCGGAAUAUCAAGUCAGCGGUAAAAAUUCGGGGCUCAACCCCGUCGUGCCGUUGAAACUGA